Molecule: long non-coding RNA, 1248 nt
Organism: Pan troglodytes (chimpanzee)
Lineage: Eukaryota; Metazoa; Chordata; Mammalia; Primates; Hominidae
Exons: 4
Source: RefSeq, a predicted model, not a curated record
AAGACAUUAAGUCCAUAAAUUUACUGAAUGACAUCACUGAAUGCCCAAUGAGAGGCAUCAGAAGACCAGAGCCUUGACAUAUUUCUGGAACAUGGAGAAAGGUGGGACCAUAUUGAUGGACAAUAUAGAAUGGAGAGAGCCACAUCUCAGGACAUGCACAGUGUGCUGCAGAAGAGUUGCUGAGCAUUUGGGUUCAUUCAAUUUUUGGAUAUUAUGAAUUAUAUCGCUAUGAACAUUAAUGUACAGGUUUCUGUGUGGACAUUUGUUUUCAUUCGUUUUGGGUAGCAGUGGAAUUGCCAGGCCAUAGGUGUCUCACUCUGCUACCCAGGCUGCAGUGCAGUGGUGCAAUCUCGGCUUACUACAGCAUUGACCUCCCAGAUUUAAGCAAUCCUCCCACUUCAGCCUCACAAAUAGUUUGGGCUACAGAAAAAUACCCAACAUGUACUUUGAUGAGCCUUUUUGUUUGAAAAAAUUAGAACCUGGAGCACCAAAGAUUUAACUUGUUCAUUCUACCUAAGACUGUAAAAGAUAUUUUGAGUUCACGCAAGCAGCCUGAAAGAGAAGGUAAAGGACAUCAGUGUGGAGAUGGGCAUGAAGGAAAUGGAACUUUGGAGAUAAACAAAAGGAAAUUUUAAAAAUGACAGCCAAAAGAAGGGUUAUCCCCACCAAGAAACACUUAGAGGUGAGAAAGGCCUGGUAAAUUUUUAGGAUAGUGAUAUUUGAUGCUAAAUUUUAAGUUGUUUUCUCUUGUCCUGUAGUCCCACUAUAUUAUACCAAAACUUCAGUAUAAAUCUGAUAUAUUUAAAGCACUUGUUAAGUAGUUUUUGUAGGAAUUAAGGAAUAGGGAUUGUAGAAUAAGUGGUACCAAGGAAAAAGCAUCUGCCUCCCACCCCCAGCCCAUUUAAACAAAUGGAGAGACAUAGGGAGUAGUAUUGUGAUUCAACUGCUAUAUUGUAACAGUAAGGAGUGAAUCCAAAGUCUAGAGGUCUAAGGGAUACAUACUUAUUAAAUACACACAAAUUAGUUGCAUGUGUGAAAAGUGUUCACCCACAAAGCACACUGUUAUUAGUAAAACUUCCUAUGUGUUCAGUGUGAUUCUUUCCAGCUGAUACUGAGUAAUAUCAGAAAGCAUCAAAUAGUUGAAUGCCUGAAGCACUUUUGGCCACUAAAUACAACACUAAUAAGUACAGAAAAAUUGGUAUUAAAGCAAAGUAUUGAUGUAACAAAUAGCAUAUAAUAUAUUUGGAG